GGGGUCGACAUUGGAUUUGACAGCAAAUGCGAUUUUGGUGGGUAAGCAUGUCGAGCGUUGCGAUGAAGCUCGUAAAUAUCUUGUUGCAAACUAUAAUUGACAAUACGUCAUACGCACUUGCGGCUUAAUUUGCUGAAUGUAAAUUAGCUUAAUCCGCUGAAGAUAUAGUAAGCGGACAAGUUUCUCUCCCAUGGGCUCUGAUUUUCGGCCCCGGAACCGAGGGAAUCAACUUAGAAAAUCUGGCACCAACUUCGCCUCGCGGGCGGUGUGAGAUCAAAGAGGAUAAGCGGGAUUCUUGGGUGUUUUUGUCCGAUUUUCCGUCGAAAACCAAUCAAAAACUAAGCAUGUAGAAGACAUUGGGAUUCUUUGUUUGGACGAGGGUUCGAACCCCUCCGACUCCACCU
RNAcentral lists this transfer-messenger RNA (404 nucleotides) under Fluviicola sp. RIFCSPHIGHO2_01_FULL_43_53. It matches the Rfam family "transfer-messenger RNA". Rfam says of the family: Bacterial tmRNA, also known as 10Sa RNA or SsrA, is named for its dual tRNA and mRNA-like properties. Its role is to liberate the mRNA from a stalled ribosome. To accomplish this part of the tmRNA is used as a reading frame that ends in a translation stop signal. Lineage: Bacteria; Pseudomonadati; Bacteroidota; Flavobacteriia; Flavobacteriales; Crocinitomicaceae. The record is from RNAcentral. RNAcentral also lists the same sequence under 2 other names.